CAGUCGAGCGAAUGAAGAGGAAGCUUGCUUCUUCUGAGUUAGCGGCGGACGGGUGAGUAACACGUGGGCAACCUACCUUGUAGCUGGGGAUAACUCCGGGAAACCGGGGCUAAUACCGAAUAAUCAGUUGUACCUCCUGGUACAACUCUGAAAGACGGUUUCGGCUGUCACUACAAGAUGGGCCCGCGGCGCAUUAGCUAGUUGGUAAGGUAACGGCUUACCAAGGCAACGAUGCGUAGCCGACCUGAGAGGGUGAUCGGCCACACUGGGACUGAGACACGGCCCAGACUCCUACGGGAGGCGGCAGUAGGGAAUCUUCCACAAUGGACGAAAGUCUGAUGGAGCAACGCCGCGUGAGUGAAGAAGGUUUUCGGAUCGUAAAACUCUGUUGUAAGGGAAGAACAAGUACGUGAGUAACUGCACGUACCUUGACGGUACCUUAUUAGAAAGCCACGGCUAACUACGUGCCAGCAGCCGCGGUAAUACGUAGGUGGCAAGCGUUGUCCGGAAUUAUUGGGCGUAAAGCGCGCGCAGGCGGUCCUUUAAGUCUGAUGUGAAAGCCCACGGCUCAACCGUGGAGGGUCAUUGGAAACUGGGGGACUUGAGUGCAGGAGAGGUUAGUGGAAUUCCAAGUGUAGCGGUGAAAUGCGUAGAGAUUUGGAGGAACACCAGUGGCGAAGGCGACUAACUGGCCUGUAACUGACGCUGAGGCGCGAAAG
RNAcentral lists this ribosomal RNA (719 nucleotides) under uncultured bacterium. RNAcentral describes it as "bacterial SSU rRNA". It matches the Rfam family "Bacterial small subunit ribosomal RNA", at positions 59 to 759 of the family's 1533-position model. The record is from RNAcentral.